Erythranthe guttata (spotted monkey flower) is the source of this 345-nucleotide non-coding RNA. The record is from RefSeq and is a predicted model, not a curated record. Lineage: Eukaryota; Viridiplantae; Streptophyta; Magnoliopsida; Lamiales; Phrymaceae.
UGAAAGUGUAGGCUAUCUGAGCAAGAACCAUCAGAAUGUGAGGCUUGAAACGCAGGAAGAAAAGAACAAGUGAGGAUUGAUUUGAUUCUUGUUGCAUGUUGUUUUUUGGUAUCAUGUUCCAUGUUAUGGGCCCGAGACCUGACAGUUUCCCAACAUGAUGUCAGAAUCGAGUCGAAGAAUGGGGAAUCGAAAAUAUGCUGUUGCGUUAAUAUAUAUACGUGCACGAUUUAUAGAUCACAAGUAUUUUUGCAAAAAAAAAAAAAAAAAAAAAAAAACUGAAGUCUGGUAGAAGUUGCUAAUUUUGGGCAUUGUCUUUUAAUAAAGUUCUUCUGUUGUUUGCUUUCA